RNAcentral lists this ribosomal RNA (254 nucleotides) under uncultured bacterium. Its description in RNAcentral is "partial 16S ribosomal RNA". It matches the Rfam family "Bacterial small subunit ribosomal RNA", at positions 524 to 776 of the family's 1533-position model. The record is from RNAcentral.
UACGUAGGGUGCGAGCGUUGUCCGGAAUUACUGGGCGUAAAGAGCUCGUAGGUGGUUUGUCGCGUUGUUCGUGAAAACUCACAGCUUAACUGUGGGCGUGCGGUCGAUACGGGCAUCACUGGAGUUCGGCAGGGGAGACUGGAAUUCCUGGUGUAGCGGUGAAAUGCGCAGAUAUCAGGAGGAACACCGGUGGCGAAGGCGGAUCUCUGGGCCAUUACUGACGCUGAGGAGCGAAAGCGUGGGGAGCGAACAGG